CCUACGGGAGGCAGCAGUGGGGAAUCUUGCACAAUGGGGGAAACCCUGAUGCAGCGACGCCGCGUGAGUGAAGAAGUAUCUCGGUACGUAAAGCUCUAUCAGCAGGGAAGAAAAUGACGGUACCUGACUAAGCAGCCCCGGCUAACUACGUGCCAGCAGCCGCGGUAAUACGUAGGGGGCACGCGUUAUCCGGAUUUACUGGGUGUAAAGGGAGCGUAGGCGGCAGCACAAGUCUGGAGUGAAAUCCCGGGGCUUAACCCCGGAACUGCUUUGGAAACUGUGCGGCUGGAGUGCAGGAGGGGUGAGCGGAAGUCCAAGUGUAGCGGUGAAAUGCGUAGAUAUUAGGAGGAACACCGGUGGCGAAGGCGGCUUACUGGACUGUAACUGACGUUGAGGCUCGAAAGCGUGGGGAGCAAACAGGAUUAGAUACCCCAGUAGUC
This 440-nucleotide ribosomal RNA is filed under the name uncultured bacterium. Its description in RNAcentral is "partial 16S ribosomal RNA". It matches the Rfam family "Bacterial small subunit ribosomal RNA", at positions 338 to 795 of the family's 1533-position model. The record is from RNAcentral.